This 777-nucleotide long non-coding RNA is filed under the name Homo sapiens (human). RNAcentral's name for it is "HSALNT0318304". The record is from RNAcentral. Lineage: Eukaryota; Metazoa; Chordata; Mammalia; Primates; Hominidae.
AGACAGACUAUGAAGAGAUACAUAGGGUGAGAAACGGAGGCCUUCAGCCAACAGCUGGGAGAAGCUGAGUCCCAUCAGCCAUUCAAAAGACUGCAGCCCCAGCCAAGAGUUUGAUGUAACCUCAGGAGAGACCCUGAGCCAGAACCACCUAGAAAAGCUGGGAUACAUGAAGACUGCCAUCCCUUGAGUCACUUGCCCUGUAGCUGCCACUGUUGGAAAAGGGCUUGCUUCUGUGUCCUUGUGCCCACUUUGAAAAUCCCUGGGAAGUCCUUGGAGUCAGAUGAGCAGGCCUCCGCCACUCUGCCAAAAAGUCUGUUCACAGGAAGUUUCACAUCACUAGAGAAGAGAGAAGAAGGACAUUUGUACUGGGAGGAGUCGACCGGUCCCAGUAAGGAGAAAGUAGCUACAGCGUCAUGGGUGAGCUGGGUCCCCCAAAAAGGAACUUUAAGGGAAUGGACUGAAUCAAGUCUGAGAUGUCCCCAAAGCAAGACCAAAGAACUGAGGAAGAGAAGCAUUCAUCAGAAACCAAAAUUCAGCUACAAGUGAGCAUCCAGAUGGAGGUAUUAUGAAGAGGAACUGAGACUGAGGGCAAAAGGUGCCAGCCAGAAUCCUGGAUAGGAGAGCAAGAACCAGGACCUCAUUUAAGAGACAACCUGCUUAAGGCAGAGUAAGCACAAAUGGGCACUCAACAUCAAUGAAGUAACAGCAAAGUCACAUAAUAAAAGCAUGGAAUUAAGACAAGCUGAAGAUUCGGAUGCAAUAAAACAACCACCCAUU